AGGAUGAACGCUAGCGGCAGGCCUAAUACAUGCAAGGCGAGGGGGCAUUUUCGAAUGUCACCGUCGUACGGGUGCGUAACGCGUAUGCAACCUACCUUCGACAGGGGGACAGCCCGGGGAAACCCGGAUUAACACCGCAUGAAACGGGGGUCCGGCAUCGGAUCCUUUGUUAAACAUUUAUGGGUCGAAGAUGGGCAUGCGUCCGAUUAGCUAGCUGGCGGGGUAACGGCCCACCAGGGCGACGAUCGGUAGGGGGGCCGGGAGGUCUAUCCCCCACACGGGCACUGAGACACGGGCCCGACUCCUACGGGAGGCAGCAGUAGGGAAUAUUGGGCAAUGGAUGAGAGUCUGACCCAGCCAUGCCGCGUGCCGGAUGAAGGCCCUCAGGGUCGUAAACGGCUUUUACCGGGGAAGAAGAGAGACCAUGCGUGGUUUGUGACGGUACCCGGUGAAUAAGCACCGGCUAACUCCGCGCCAGCAGCCGC
Molecule: ribosomal RNA, 485 nt
Filed under: uncultured bacterium
Lineage: Bacteria
Description: SSU rRNA
Rfam family: Bacterial small subunit ribosomal RNA
Source: RNAcentral